GGACUGUGGCUCAGUGGUAGAGCACUUGCCAGGCAUGUGUGAGGCCCUGGGUUCGAUCCUCAGCACCA
This 68-nucleotide transfer RNA is filed under the name Marmota monax (woodchuck). RNAcentral describes it as "tRNA.Ala". Lineage: Eukaryota; Metazoa; Chordata; Mammalia; Rodentia; Sciuridae. The record is from RNAcentral.